This 394-nucleotide long non-coding RNA is filed under the name Homo sapiens (human). Its description in RNAcentral is "HSALNT0306649". The record is from RNAcentral. Lineage: Eukaryota; Metazoa; Chordata; Mammalia; Primates; Hominidae.
GGAAGGGAUUGUUUAGCUGAAAUGGAAGAUUUGAUAUCUGAACAAGGAGUUCUAAAUAAUUCUCUGCACCUUAAUCUGCCAAUACUCACUCUAAAACUACACAAAGGAGAUUCAAAAUAAAAAGAGGAUGAUAAACGGCAAAACCAUCUGAGCACUUCUUUAAUUUCUUCUUCUAACAACUGUGAAGUGGUCAAAAGGCAGAAAUGAGGAGGAAAGCAAAAAAGAAGAAGCCACAGGGUGUAGAUAAUCCACAAACAAGCUAAUUGGUCCCUGGGUAAUUGCUGACUCUCUUCAGCAGCCAUGCAAUGGAGAUUUCCAGGAAAAUGUAAAUACUGUAUUUAUAUCUGUUCAAAUUUUGUUUUCAAGAAUAAAAGUACUAAUCAGAUGGGUUUAA